UGCAAGUCGAACGGCAGCACGGACUUCGGUCUGGUGGCGAGUGGCGAACGGGUGAGUAAUGUAUCGGAACGUGCCUAGUAGCGGGGGAUAACUACGCGAAAGCGUAGCUAAUACCGCAUACGCCCUACGGGGGAAAGCAGGGGAUCGCAAGACCUUGCACUAUUAGAGCGGCCGAUAUCGGAUUAGCUAGUUGGUGGGGUAACGGCUCACCAAGGCGACGAUCCGUAGCUGGUUUGAGAGGACGACCAGCCACACUGGGACUGAGACACGGCCCAGACUCCUACGGGAGGCAGCAGUGGGGAAUUUUGGACAAUGGGGGAAACCCUGAUCCAGCCAUCCCGCGUGUGCGAUGAAGGCCUUCGGGUUGUAAAGCACUUUUGGCAGGAAAGAAACGUCAUGGGUUAAUACCCCGUGAAACUGACGGUACCUGCAGAAUAAGCACCGGCUAACUACGUGCCAGCAGCCGCGGUAAUACGUAGGGUGCAAGCGUUAAUCGGAAUUACUGGGCGUAAAGCGUGCGCAGGCGGUUCGGAAAGAAAGAUGUGAAAUCCCAGAGCUUAACUUUGGAACUGCAUUUUUAACUACCGGGCUAGAGUGUGUCAGAGGGUGGUGGAAUUCCGCGUGUAGCAGUGAAAUGCGUAGAUAUGCGGAGGAACACCGAUGGCGAAGGCAGCCUCCUGGGAUAACACUGACGCUCAUGCACGAAAGCGU
Molecule: ribosomal RNA, 711 nt
Filed under: uncultured bacterium
Lineage: Bacteria
Description: bacterial SSU rRNA
Rfam family: Bacterial small subunit ribosomal RNA
Source: RNAcentral